RNAcentral lists this long non-coding RNA (642 nucleotides) under Anolis carolinensis (green anole). Its description in RNAcentral is "lncRNA (ENSACAG00000040666.1)". The record is from RNAcentral. Lineage: Eukaryota; Metazoa; Chordata; Lepidosauria; Squamata; Anolidae.
CUGGGGAAUCAGUAAAAGCACAUUCUCUCUUUCAAAGCCUUUCAUUAAAGAGAGAGAGAGGUUGUUGGAUCCAACUCAAAGAAAUGGCUUAUCCUCUUCCCCAGGCAGGCCUUGGCAUCAGGCUUAAGCAGCCAAGCCAUAAAUGCAUCUUCGUUGUUAUAGGCUCUAACAGCACCUGGCCUAGGAACACUGGCCUUCCAGAUGGUCUUAUUUUGCAUAUUGCUUUUUAGCCAAAUCAAGAGGCAUAUCUUUUUAAAAUAAAAAAUAAAUAAAUAGUUGGGUGUGAUUUGACGGCAAGCCAUUCUGAGCGCCAUCUGGUGGGAAAGCUGAUGAGAAAUGUAAAUAGCAGUCUAUUGAUUAACCUGAUGGUUAUCACCAGGCAAUCCAUCAGUCUGUCAAGGGUUGUUGCCUAUAUGGGCACGCCUUCUUGAAUAGGAAAGGUAACACAGUUGGGUCAGCCUUCAAGUGCUGAAAGAUAUGAAAAGGAGUCCAGUUGGUGAUAGAUACCAUAUGAUCCUCAUGAGGUUGGCAGAAGCUGGGGCUAACAGCAGGAGCUCACCCCGCUCCCCGGAUUUGAACCACCAACCUUUUGAAAUCCCUGCUUUUGUGUCAGCUGCACAAACUGGAAGCUGAGUGACUCAC